AUGAGCACUAAUACAAAUGUCAACCCUGCACCCAAGGAUGCCGAGGAGAAGAAAGCAGCCGGCUCGUCCUCCUCCUCAUCGGAGCACCUGGAUGAAGACGAUGAUUUCUUCCAGAUCGAGGGACCGGUCCUCAAUACCCAAUUCUCCCUGGCCGGACCAAACCUCGACGGAUGCCCAGACCCGAAAAGGAUCCCCUCGUCAGUCUUCGCAAGGACGUCAACAUUGCAAACCGACUGGAGCGUCACGUCGAACGAGGCUCUCUUCAGCAUCAAUGUCGGGAACACGAGCUUCGACAAGGACCAUAAGGUCUUGUAUGGCAAGUCGGGUGAGAUGGGCAACCCCAACGAGCCUUUGGCGCCAUUGCCAUCGUUCCCGAAGCAGAGCCCAGGGUCCAGCCCCAUCAAGGGGGCAGUGUCACCCAAGGCAACCGGAGAAGGCAGCUCGACUGUGAAGGGGGAAGGAGACGCGGAUCACAUAGAUAGCAUAUCUCACCGUUCCGAAGGAAGCGCGACCAACUUUGCAUUCCCGAUAUUGGCAGGUGAUGAGAAAGCCAGGGGGUGCUCGAAGGACAACCAACCAGAUCUUGCCCAACAAAGCACGGCGCAACUGAGUCAUGCACCAGAGCCAGAGCCGCAUGAUGAGAAGAACGAAUCACCGAAAGCCGCAAUGGAAUCACCAAAAGCCGCAAUGGAAUCACCGAAAGCCGCAAUGGAAUCACCGAAAGCUGCAAUGGAAGCACCUAAACCUGAAGAAGCCCCAGUAGCGGAACCGGCACCAGCACCGGCGGAGCCACCUCCAGCGACAAAAAUGUUUCCCUGCUGUUCUUGCUGUCCAUUCUGUUGCUAA
This 846-nucleotide ribosomal RNA is filed under the name Triticum aestivum (bread wheat). Its description in RNAcentral is "partial small subunit ribosomal RNA". Lineage: Eukaryota; Viridiplantae; Streptophyta; Magnoliopsida; Poales; Poaceae. The record is from RNAcentral.